Molecule: ribosomal RNA, 533 nt
Filed under: Salmonella enterica
Lineage: Bacteria; Pseudomonadati; Pseudomonadota; Gammaproteobacteria; Enterobacterales; Enterobacteriaceae
Also listed under: 2 other names
Description: bacterial SSU rRNA
Rfam family: Bacterial small subunit ribosomal RNA
Source: RNAcentral
UGGUGCCUUCGGGAACUGUGAGACAGGUGCUGCAUGGCUGUCGUCAGCUCGUGUUGUGAAAUGUUGGGUUAAGUCCCGCAACGAGCGCAACCCUUAUCCUUUGUUGCCAGCGAUUAGGUCGGGAACUCAAAGGAGACUGCCAGUGAUAAACUGGAGGAAGGUGGGGAUGACGUCAAGUCAUCAUGGCCCUUACGACCAGGGCUACACACGUGCUACAAUGGCGCAUACAAAGAGAAGCGACCUCGCGAGAGCAAGCGGACCUCAUAAAGUGCGUCGUAGUCCGGAUUGGAGUCUGCAACUCGACUCCAUGAAGUCGGAAUCGCUAGUAAUCGUGGAUCAGAAUGCCACGGUGAAUACGUUCCCGGGCCUUGUACACACCGCCCGUCACACCAUGGGAGUGGGUUGCAAAAGAAGUAGGUAGCUUAACCUUCGGGAGGGCGCUUACCACUUUGUGAUUCAUGACUGGGGUGAAGUCGUAACAAGGUAACCGUAGGGGAACCUGCGGUUGGAUCACCUCCUUACCUUAAAGAAGC